This 271-nucleotide ribosomal RNA is filed under the name uncultured bacterium. RNAcentral describes it as "partial 16S ribosomal RNA". It matches the Rfam family "Bacterial small subunit ribosomal RNA", at positions 524 to 794 of the family's 1533-position model. The record is from RNAcentral.
UACGGAGGGUGCAAGCGUUGUUCGGAAUUAUUGGGCGUAAAGCGCGUGUAGGCGGUUUUUUAAGUCUGAUGUGAAAGCCCCGGGCUCAACCUGGGAAGUGCAUUGGAUACUGGAAGACUUGAGUACGGGAGAGGGUAGUGGAAUUCCUAGUGUAGGAGUGAAAUUCGUAGAUAUUCGGAGGAACACCGGUGGCGAAGGCGGCUUCCUGGCAUGUAACUGACACUCAUGUUCGAAAGCGUGGGUAGCAAACAGGAUUAGAAACCCCGGUAGU